RNAcentral lists this long non-coding RNA (2750 nucleotides) under Triticum aestivum (bread wheat). RNAcentral describes it as "long non-coding RNA (TAES_LNC018663)". The record is from RNAcentral. Lineage: Eukaryota; Viridiplantae; Streptophyta; Magnoliopsida; Poales; Poaceae.
CUGUGGAUAUUACCAAAAUCCUGCCUUAUGUUUGCACAAUUGAUAGUUUCUAACCUCAGAGGCUCGGCAGGUAAUAAGUACACCACAGGAUAUGCAAAUGCAUUCUCUAUAUAUUCGCUCAUUCAUGUUUUACAUCUUACUCUCAUGCUGGCAUCCAUUAUUCUUAUAUGCAUGUGGUUUCCUCAACCUGAAGUUAAAUACAAGUUGGUCACUGAACAAGCUUAUAUCACUCAAAACAUACUUGUGCAAAGGAGCUGGAUUUGUUUAAUUAGUAGCAUUAAGACCAAAUGUUGAAUUAGGGUUGGCAGAACGUAAUAUUAAUACUGUUUAGACUUAUGUAACCUGCAGAAACAUGCCCUGGAUCGAACAUAGUGGCGUAUAUAACCUCCAUUAUGUAUGUUGUAAUGCCUGUCUCCACUCACCAUGAGAAUGUCAGUAUUAAAUAGGCAAUUUGGGGUCCUUGCUGAUAGUCACUGAUUAUAGUUGGUAAUGGCAGCUGAUGAAGGUAUACAGAAUGAUCAACUCAAGAUGCCGAAUUCGGUUCAUGGUUCAGGCCUCAGGGUCGGCGGUCGCUAAGAAAUACAAAUAUGUUCAUCAUUUCUUUCAAUAGUGUCCCGACAGUGGUAGAUAAAUAAGAUUGAUAGGUUCUUUCUGUUGAUAUUUGUGCCUUUCCUGAGGUAGCACCAUCUGACCACAAGGUGGCCAUAGGACAUGUUUUUGGUUUUGUCACUGGCAGCAACAUCAAAUCAAAUAAUUUCCCUUGGCUAGCACUGGUAAUUGAAGCUCAAGAUGCCAAUGCUUUGGGGGAUGCUUAAUUAAAUGUCGAGCUCGUGGAUUCAGAGAACAGAUUAGGCUUUAGUUCGGUUCAGAUUCAGUAAUUUCAUAUUAUCACCCACGUCCAACGAACAGCACAAAGAGGGCAUGGAUGUACUAUGCAAAUGCGGUUGGCUGGCAGUUGGCUUACCUCGGCAUCUUUGCCGCCGACCAGGAGACUACUCCGCAGCGGCCACGGCGAGAGAGGGGUGUAACUUGGCCAUCUAGGGAGUCCUCAGUGGGGCCGAGUGCUGACUUUUAACAACAAAUAACCAUUAAUUUUGCUCGGUUCAUGGAAAAAUUAGCACUAAAUCCCUGUAUCCGCCACUUGUCAAACAUCCCUCUUAUGAUAAUCUGAACAACGCAGCCAAAGCAAUCCUUCGGAUCACGUAGACUUUGUGGUCGACACAGUACUAAUUCAUUGAAUGAAUUUGUACAUAACUUAACAUCUUCCCCCAGUAUUUCCCUUAUCUUUUUUAGUAUCUUACACACUGAAUUAUAGGUUGGUCCGAUCUUUUGUAUGGGGCAGGCUUCAGGCCAACGGAAGAUGAUUUACCGGGUGACUGCCGCUACAGGUCUUCGGGGCUCCGUGUGCCACCUGGGACAUUUUGUAUGAAUUUUGGAGGUAUACAAUUCCAUUAUCUACAAAUUAAUUCCUUGCUUGCAUAUACAUCACUAAUUAACUUAUAGAUGGUUUAUUCAUUUUCAGAUUCUCUGGUUGUUGAACAUAUACCAACUCCUCUUUUUUUUAAUCCAGUAUGAUUCUUGAUCCUACAAAAUUGCAAGUUAUUGCAGCUUUUCAUGGUGUGGUCUCUGGUGUCACUUACUAAGCUUGACUGCAGUAUGCACCUUUUAGAGUUUGCUGAUGAGGUAUGCAACCAUUUGAGAUUUGGGUAUAAGCCUUCUAUACCAAUAGGUGUUCCCCCUUUCUGAUCUGGUGGUGGCCUAUAUAGAUUGUGCUAGAUUCAAGGUCACUGCCCACUAAGAAUUCUUAUUCAUCUUUGCUUCUAGGUCUAUGGGACAAAAUUGCUGAAUGAUUUUGGAAUCCCCAGAGUUUACGUCCCCACGGUGAGGUUAGUAAUUGGAAUCCACACUUUCUGCGAACUCGGUUUGCUCUUUUCCUUUAAAGAUUAGUACUGCUGCAUAAUGUUGUAUUUUUUUAUUGUUGAGGCUAAAGAAUACCACUUAUACAUGUACAUGAUUGUACACCUCCUAUACCUUCUAAAUUGUGUGUUUAUUUGGUUAAUCAAGAAGCAUCUAAUUACAUGUGUGGGUAUGUUGAAAAUAUGUAAAACCCCUCUUCUUCUCGAUACUCUACUUUUCUUUUGCAAACACAUCUAUGCCUGCACAUCUAUGCAUGCUAUUCACUACUACAGCUACGUUGGUGCUGCGGUUUAGAACUAUAUUGCCUAAUACAUGUUUAUGGGUUAUCAUCAAUACUAUUGAUCAUCUUUGGCUUUGGACACUUUGUUAAUCUUUGCACUUCCUCUCUACCUCUUGAUGUGCAUCAUGGCGUGAUAUGCACUUCUCACUUAUGUAUUUUUCUUUCCGUUCUAUGUUGCAGUUCUGGUCAAACCAAUAUCUUAGUAUGCAUGUUAGCGAGUUCAUUUCUCGCAUGGAGAAGGUCUCUCUCUCUUUUAAAUUGUCAAGUUUGUUCUUGUAUUCGGAUGCUAUAAUUUAUCCUAUCCCUGUUUAGAUUUAUUUUUGUGUAUGCUAAAUUCUUUCUUUAACUUAUAUUACAGGGACCUCUGUUGUUUACCGAAUGCAUAUUUUUUGCAGUGUUUGUUUGGAAUUCUCAUGGUGCAUCUGCCUAGCUUGGAUUCCUUUCGAGUUUACACUCCAAUCAGUUGGUUUUUAGUAUAUCUGCAUGUACCUAGGUUGUAGCAGCACCAACGUGUUGGAAAUAUGCCCUAGAGGCAAUAAUAAAUGGUUAUUAU